CCGCGCCGCAUUAGCUAGUUGGUAAGGAACGGCUUACCAAGGCAACGAUGCGUAGCCGACCUGAGAGGGUGAUCGGCCACACUGGAACUGAGACACGGUCCAGACUCCUACGGGAGGCAGCAGUAGGGAAUCUUCCGCAAUGGGCGAAAGCCUGACGGAGCAACGCCGCGUGAGUGAUGAAGGUCUUCGGAUCGUAAAACUCUGUUAUUAGGGAAGAACAAAUGUGUAAGUAACUAUGCACGUCUUGACGGUACCUAAUCAGAAAGCCACGGCUAACUACGUGCCAGCAGCCGCGGUAAUACGUAGGUGGCAAGCGUUAUCCGGAAUUAUUGGGCGUAAAGCGCGCGUAGGCGGUUUUUAAGUCUGAUGUGAAAGCCCACGGCUCAACCGUGGAGGGUCAUUGGAAACUGGGAAACUUGAGUGCAGAAGAGGAAAGUGGAAUUCCAUGUGUAGCGGUGAAAUGCGCAGAGAUAUGGAGGAACACCAGUGGCGAAGGCGACUUUCUGGUCUGUAACUGACGCUGAUGUGCGAAAGCGUGGGGAUCAAACAGGAUUAGAUACCCUGGUAGUCCACGCCGUAACGAUGAGUGCAGUGUAGGGGGUUUCCGCCCCUUAGUGCUGCAGCUAACGCAU
RNAcentral lists this ribosomal RNA (632 nucleotides) under Staphylococcus cohnii. RNAcentral describes it as "bacterial SSU rRNA". It matches the Rfam family "Bacterial small subunit ribosomal RNA", at positions 231 to 860 of the family's 1533-position model. The record is from RNAcentral. Lineage: Bacteria; Bacillati; Bacillota; Bacilli; Caryophanales; Staphylococcaceae.